Molecule: long non-coding RNA, 1124 nt
Organism: Carassius auratus (goldfish)
Lineage: Eukaryota; Metazoa; Chordata; Actinopteri; Cypriniformes; Cyprinidae
Exons: 6
Source: RefSeq, a predicted model, not a curated record
GGUCAGUAUCAGUUUCCUUUUCUUUUAUGAAGGAAACAAGCGGUGAGAAAACAAAUAGAGAGUGCAAGUGUUAGAGGGUCAAGUAAACUAUUAGAUAGGCGUCAUAGUAUACACACACAAGCAGAUUUUGUAAUGGACUAAUGGGGGGUAAGGGUUUCUGUAAAUUCUGCGUGUUUUAAUGUGCGCGUGCAGAACACUGGAGUAACGUUCAUUCAGAUUCAAACACUGGAGCGGAGGGAGUUGCCAUGGAAACGGGGCGAUAGACAACACUAGCCAGCUGCACGCUCCGUGUUUCACUGCUGUUUUCACUGAUUUCGAAAUGGUUUAGGGUUUUCGAACAAGUCCGUUAGCAUCUUGACCGUUAUCAGAGGAGUGCUUGAUGGCCUUCUGCAUCCCAGAGUCUGUGCAAGCCUUCUUUCUAACAACAUCUCCAGGCACACUGAACCAUAUGACUAGCAGCGAACAAUACAUCGUGGACCAAAGAGGAAACUGACAACACAGAGACCGAAGAAGACAGAGAAGGUCACUUCUGAUCGCUGUAGUGCCUCAGUCCAGUGGAGUGAUUGGGAGUCCCACAGAGGAGAUCGGAACGAUAUAAAAGAGGAGUGAUGACAGUGAAGGACGAGAGAGGACCAGGCCUGGGCUUUAUUUUGUGUUUAAGUUUUGUUUGUGCGCGAGGGGCUGGCGCGAUGCUUUGUCUUUAUUUUAUUAUUAUAGCUUUGUUUGUCCGCCGGUUCCUGCCGCCUCUUUCCCGAGAUUGUGAAAUUUGUCUGCUGUUACAGUAAUAUUGUGACUUUAUUAAACGAUCCUCUACGAAAAUACAGUUUCACUGUGUUAUCGAUGUACUUUCAGGGAGGAACUUGUCAGCAAAUCUACUUCACAACACAUGUGAAAGCAGUUGACAGUUACAGACGUGUGUGUUGGAUCAGGGUCAGAUCUGAAUUCUGAUGGUUUUCUGGGAUGACCAUUGAAGAGAUCAGCACAUCAGAUGUUGGCCUGGACAGCUGUACCUACAGUACACCACGCUGACUUCUUUGCAUGGAUAGCUGACUAUAAUAUUUUUGGACUAUAAGUAGCACCUGAGUAUAAGUCGCAUCAGUCCAAAAAUACGUCAUGACGAGGAA